This 433-nucleotide ribosomal RNA is filed under the name uncultured bacterium. Its description in RNAcentral is "partial 16S ribosomal RNA". It matches the Rfam family "Bacterial small subunit ribosomal RNA", at positions 29 to 507 of the family's 1533-position model. The record is from RNAcentral.
AACGAACGCUGGCGGCAUGCCUAACACAUGCAAGUCGAACGAGACCUUCGGGUCUAGUGGCGCACGGGUGCGUAACGCGUGGGAACCUGCCCUUAGGUUCGGAAUAACUCCCCGAAAGGGGUGCUAAUACCGGUUAAUGUCUUCGGACCAAAGAUUUAUCGCCUUUGGAUGGGCCCGCGUUGGAUUAGCUAGUUGGUAGGGUAAAAGCCUACCAAGGCGACGAUCCAUAGCUGGUCUGAGAGGAUGAUCAGCCACACUGGGACUGAGACACGGCCCAGACUCCUACGGGAGGCAGCAGUGGGGGAUAUUGGACAAUGGGCGAAAGCCUGAUCCAGCAAUGCCGCGUGAGUGAUGAAGGCCUUAGGGUUGUAAAGCUCUUUUACCCGGGAUGAUAAUGACAGUACCGGGAGAAUAAGCUCCGGCUAACUCCGUG